AGCUUUAUAUUCAAUAAUGAUAUUAGAUUGCAAAUCUAAAGGAAUAACAAUUAGUUAUUAAAGCUU
RNAcentral lists this transfer RNA (66 nucleotides) under Dasysyrphus albostriatus. RNAcentral's name for it is "tRNA-Cys". The record is from RNAcentral. Lineage: Eukaryota; Metazoa; Arthropoda; Insecta; Diptera; Syrphidae.